AGGGAAUAUUGCGCAAUGGGCGAAAGCCUGACGCAGCGAUACCGCGUGAGUGAGGAAGGUCUUCGGAUUGUAAAGCUCUGUCGGGAUGGAAAAAUGGCGUGAGAUCUAAUAGGUUUUACGAUUGAUGGUACAUCCAAAGGAAGCACCGGCUAACUUCGUGCCAGCAGCCGCGGUAAUACGAAGGGUGCAAGCGUUGUUCGGAUUUAUCGGGCGUAAAGCGCGCGCAGGCGGAUAAUUAAGUCAGGUGUGAAAUCUCAGGGCUCAACCCUGAAACAGCGCCUGAAACUGAUUGUCUAGAAUACUGGAGGGGGAAGGGGAAUUUCACAUGUAGGGGUAAAAUCCGUUGAUAUGUGAAGGAAUACCAGAGGCGAAGGCGCCUUCCUGGACAGUUAUUGACGCUGAGGUGCGAAAGCGUGGGGAGCAAAC
RNAcentral lists this ribosomal RNA (426 nucleotides) under uncultured bacterium. RNAcentral describes it as "bacterial SSU rRNA". It matches the Rfam family "Bacterial small subunit ribosomal RNA", at positions 356 to 773 of the family's 1533-position model. The record is from RNAcentral.